Molecule: ribosomal RNA, 392 nt
Filed under: Phelsuma grandis (Madagascar giant day gecko)
Lineage: Eukaryota; Metazoa; Chordata; Lepidosauria; Squamata; Gekkonidae
Description: partial 12S ribosomal RNA
Rfam family: Bacterial small subunit ribosomal RNA
Source: RNAcentral
GCCAGCCGUAAACUAAAGCAAAUAUCUACCAAUUUGCUCGCCAGAAAACUACACGCGAAAGCACAAAAUUCAAAGGACUUGACGGUGUUCCACAUCAGCCUAGAGGAGCCUGUCCUGUAAUCGACGAUCCACGUUAUACCUCACCCACUUUUGAUACAACAGCCUAUAUACCGCCGUCGUCAGCUCAUCUAAUGAUAGAACCAAAAUGAGCAAAAGUGUAUAUCACCAAAACGUCAGGUCAAGGUGUAGCUUAUAAGUGGGCAUGAGAUGGGCUACAUUUUUUAGAAUAAAAAAUACAGCAAGAAAAAUGAAACAUAGACUAUUAAAGGUGGAUUUAGCAGUAAAUAUGUGCAAGAAGUGCCAUAUUGAACUUAGCUCUGGAACGCGUACAU